AGAGGAAGUAAAAGUCGUAACAAGGUUUCCGUAGGUGAACCUGCGGAAGGAUCAUUAAAGAGUUUAGAGACUUCGGUCUACUACUCCACCCUUUGUUUACAAUACCAUUGUUGCUUUGGCAGGCCCGUCGUAAGACAACCGGCUUCGGCUGGUCAGUGCCUGCCAGAGGACCUAAAACUCAUGUUUAUAUUAUUGUCUGAGUACUAUAUAAUAGUUAAAACUUUCAACAACGGAUCUCUUGGUUCUGGCAUCGAUGAAGAACGCAGCGAAAUGCGAUAAGUAAUGUGAAUUGCAGAAUUCAGUGAAUCAUCGAAUCUUUGAACGCACAUUGCGCCCUCUGGUAUUCCGGGGGGCAUGCCUGUUCGAGCGUCAUUACAACCCUCAAGCUCUGCUUGGUAUUAGGCUUCACCCUUAGGGGCGGGCCUUAAAAUCAGUGGCGGUGCCAUCCGGCUUCAAGCGUAGUAAUUUUCUCGCUUUGGAGGACCGGGUGUGUGUUUGCCAAUAACCCCAAUAUUUUUAAAGGUUGACCUCGGAUCAGGUAGGGAUACCCGCUGAACUUAAGCAUAUC
RNAcentral lists this ribosomal RNA (568 nucleotides) under Alatospora flagellata. RNAcentral describes it as "eukaryotic LSU rRNA". The stretch from base 219 to 372 matches the Rfam family "5.8S ribosomal RNA". The record is from RNAcentral. Lineage: Eukaryota; Fungi; Ascomycota; Leotiomycetes; Leotiales; Leotiaceae.